UCUCUGGCUGGGUGGAGGACUCUCAGUUAGACUGGACAGGUCUCUGGCUGGGUGGAGGACUCUCAGUUAGACUGGACAGGCCUCUGGCUGGGUGGAGGACUCUCAGUUAGACUGGACAGGCUGGGUGGAGGACUCUCAGUUAGACUGGACAGGUCUCUGGCUGGGUGGAGGACUCUCAGUUAGACUGGACAGGUCUCUGGCUGGGUGGAGGACUCUCAGUUAGACUGGACAGGCAUCUGGCUGGGUGGAGGACUCUCAGUUAGACUGGACAGGCUGGGUGGAGGACUCUCAGUUAGACUGGACAGGCUGGGUGGAGGACUCUCAGUUAGACUGGACAGGUCUCUGGCUGGGUGGAGGACUCUCAGUUAGACUGGACAGGUCUCUGGCUGGGUGGAGGACUCUCAGUUAGACUGGACAGGCCUCUGGCUGGCUGGGUGGAGGACUCUCAGACUGGACAGGCCUCUGGCUGGGUGGAGGACUCUCAGUUAGACUGGACAGGUCUCUGGCUGGGUGGAGGACUCUCAGUUAGACUGGACAGGUCUCUGGCUGGGUGGAGGACUCUCAGUUAGACUGGACAGGCCUCUGGCUGGG
Molecule: long non-coding RNA, 591 nt
Organism: Oncorhynchus tshawytscha (Chinook salmon)
Lineage: Eukaryota; Metazoa; Chordata; Actinopteri; Salmoniformes; Salmonidae
Source: Ensembl